ACACACACACACACACACCCACGCCCUUCCUUGAAGCCAUGGCUGAAACUUGAAGAGAAAUCCUGUACAGGAGAAGGAUUAGAAGCACUCUUGGGUACAACUAAGUGGAUCAAACUACCUUUGUUUCCAUAGUGUGUUGAACCAUGCAAUUAAAGAUGAUUCUAAGUGGGAAUUUUUGGAAGUAGAAAGUGGCUGCAUGCUAGUGAAAUUGUGCACUGUUUUUACAGAAUUAAGGCCCAUAUUGCAUGAUGAAUUUUAGUACUGAAAAUAACUCUGUUAGUCAUGCAAAUAUGUGGAAGAGUACCCAUGUAUAUUUAAAUUAAGAUGAAAAAGGUUUUGGGUUAAUAUCUAUUUUAAUUUGGAAAUUAUUAGUCAUUUGUUAAGGGGUGUCAAAACUACUGUGAAGUUCCAGGGAAAUUAUAUGACUUUGUAAUGAACCUUUGACUGGCCAGAUGUUAUCCAAUUUCUUUCAAAACAAUUUUAUUUGAAAUAUGUCGUGUCUAAUUAAAUCUUGAUGUUUAAAUCAUGUUGAAACUCCAUAUAGAUUGGCAGUUAUGCCUCUGAUAGUGUGGACAUCUUACUGUUAUCUGUCAUAAACUGUUGUAAUUUCUAGAAACUGUUACUCAUGUUGUGUUGAACUUUUAACUAUUCAAAUGGAGUCCAAUUGCUUUCCAACCACUGAAAUUUGAAAUAUGUAUAUGUUUACGCCAAUUUUGGUUUUCAAAUCAUCUUGAAAUACUUUCUAGAUUGAAAGUUAUGCCUCUGUUAAAAGGGACAUGUGACUGUUAGCAAAUUGCAGCAGAUUUUAGAAGUUCAUUUCUGUUACCAUGAGCUUUUGCCUAACCAAGUGGAGUCCAAUUGCUUUCAAUCCACGUCGAUUUGAAAUAUGUAUGUGUUUACUCAAAUUGUUUUUUUAAAAUCAUCUUGAAAUAUCUUUUAGAUUGAAAGCUAUGCCUCUGUAAAGAGGAAUAUGUCACUGUUAACAAAUUGCAUCAGAUUUCAGAACUUCAUUUCUGUUGCCAAGAGCUUUUGACUAACCAAAUAGAGUCCAAUUGCUUUCAAAUCACUUCCAUUUGAAAGAUAUGUGUAUCCACUUUGAAAUUGGUUAUGAAAACACAUCAAAAUUUCGUAUAAAUUGAAAGCUACGCCUUUGUUUAUGAGACAUGUUACUAUCAGAAAUUGCAGAAAUUUCGAAACUGUAUUCCACUCAUACACUGAAUUCUUGAUUUGACCAAAUGAUGCUCACUAAUCUGCCAUGAGAUACUGAAAAUAUAUGCUUAUGAUACUAUGAAUGUUCGUGAAUUCUUCAAAAUAACAAAGAACGAGCAAAUGAAUGCUUGACCAUGCACGUACACAGUGCAAUAUACUGUAAUACUGACCACUGCGUAAUGAGUCACUCAUUAGUAGUGGGACACUGUGAUACUGUGACUGUGACUGUGAUAUACUGUGAUACUGACCACUACGCAAUGGGUCACCUAUUGGUAAUGGGAUACUAUGAUACUGUGAUUGAGAUAUACUGUGAUACUGACUAAUAUGCAAUGGGUCACCCAUUGGUAGUGCGAUACUGUGAUACUGUGACUGUGAUAUACAGUGAUACUGACCAAUACACAAUGGGGCACCCAUUGGUAGUGGUAUACUAUGAUGCCAGCAAUUAUUGACUGUGCCCCAACUUCAAUGAUAGGAAUGGUGUCAGGAGGUGAAACUAAAUAACAGGGAGGGUCGUGCCCCCCGAAUUUAAAUGGGCACUACGUAGUGUAACACCCUCUCGCCUGAAGGCAUGAGGAGAGGGUCAUGUCUUGCAAGGCCACUGCCUAUCGAAAACCCCAAGUGCGAUGGGGAGUGUGUGCGUGAGUGAGGACAUUAUGAAAUGGGACACCCAUUUUUCAUUGACCUCCCUCCUAAAUGAAGUUAGAAGUUUCAAGUUACAACAUUGUCUUAGCCUGACCGAUGUGACUUCUACUUAGGGAGUAGACGACUCUAAUCUUUUCCUGUGUACUUUGUGUGUUUUUUCAAGGUACUGACCUGUUACUAUAAUAAGAGGAGAAAUAGUUGUUAGCUCAUGCAAUAUGUGCUGCCCUAAUCUCAAAAUCAUACUUUGUUUUACACUGCUAAUGAAUUAUGAUGCAUGACUAUACUUUGUGAUGCCUGUAUGAAUUGUGGGUUAUAUCAUUAUAUCAUUACAUAUGUAUAGGACGAAAUGCAAUGUUACUGAUCUACUUACUGAGCUUUUAGCUCAUUGCUUCCAUUUUUUUUCCAUCUGUAUAGAGUGAUAACCAAUCAUUCAAGAGUGGAUAGCUAGACAGUGGUGGCAAGCAUUUAAAGCUCAGGACUUGGCAAGAGAAACCUUUUGAUAGUAGGUGUCUGGUGGCAGUGCCACAGAGUUGUUUCGAUGUAAUACUAUAAUUUUGUUGUCAGGCCUGUAGCGCCUUGAAUAGAAUUGCAAAUAAUUUUUGGAGAAUG
Molecule: long non-coding RNA, 2460 nt
Filed under: Amborella trichopoda
Lineage: Eukaryota; Viridiplantae; Streptophyta; Magnoliopsida; Amborellales; Amborellaceae
Description: long non-coding RNA (ATRI_LNC001094)
Source: RNAcentral